GGGCGUGUGGCUCAGUUGGUAGAGCGUUCGCUUAGCAUUUUCCUUGGACCCUCCCUCCUAGCGAGGGGUCGUCCGCUCCGGUUGUGCGAAAGGUCCUGGGUUCGAUUCCCAGCUCGUCCA
Molecule: non-coding RNA, 120 nt
Organism: Chaetomium tenue
Lineage: Eukaryota; Fungi; Ascomycota; Sordariomycetes; Sordariales; Chaetomiaceae
Source: the annotation of a GenBank genome assembly